Long non-coding RNA from Oncorhynchus tshawytscha (Chinook salmon), 353 nucleotides. The record is from Ensembl. NCBI's taxonomy places the organism in Eukaryota, Metazoa, Chordata, Actinopteri, Salmoniformes, Salmonidae.
ACUCCACCACUACCACAUAUCUACAGUACACUGUGUGCCCUCAGGCCCCUACUCCACCACUACCACAUAUCUACAGUACACUGUGUGCCCUCAGGCCCCUACUCCACCACUACCACAUAUCUACAGUACACUGUGUGCCCUCAGGCCCCUACUCCACCACUACCUCAUAUCUACAGUACACUGUGUGCCCUCAGGCCCCUCCUCCACCACUACCUCAUAUCUACAACACACUGUGUGCCCUCAGGCCCCUAGUCCACCACUACCACAUAUCUACAACACACUGUGUGCCCUCAGGCCCCUACUCCACCACUACCACAUAUCUACAACACACUGUGUGCCCUCAGGCCCCUACC